Molecule: long non-coding RNA, 787 nt
Organism: Lingula anatina
Lineage: Eukaryota; Metazoa; Brachiopoda; Lingulata; Lingulida; Lingulidae
Source: RefSeq, a predicted model, not a curated record
ACUUAAAAGGCGCCGGUCCUGAUUUCAGGAGGACAUUUACUUGAAGAGCGUUCAGCUGCGACCACCGGGCUUACUAUACUAACAUGCAGAAGAGGGCGUUGUGUUUGGCAGGUGUACUCCUUUUGAAUGUGAUGCUGUCUACAGUGGUGGCUUUUCCUAAUAUUGACAGAGGGGGGCAUGACAGCUAUUACCGAAACUCCCGUUGUAGCCUGGACUGCAGUGAUCGACCGGAUGGUAUCUACACUCACUUGUUCAGAAAGUGCCGCAAAUUCUACCGGUGUGAAAAGGGGGUUGCAAUUGAAUUUUAGAAACUGUGUGAAUACUGACUUUGCUUGAUUGAAAUCCUUCGGAAUUUCGACUUAUUUCCAUGGUCAAUGAGGAAAAAAGGGAACUGAUGACGCCUGCUAUAAUUGCAGUUUGAGACAUUAUCAAGACGAAGCAUCGAUGGCUUUGACGACUGCGCAUUGCGCGGGAAAAUUGUUGCAUAGCCUUUCAGUAGCUAAUGCAUGUCGAUGUUGAUAUUUCCAAAUAACAGACUUUUUUGUCUUAAAUUGUAAUCUUACUUUCUCUGUGAUACACUUGUGGUAAUUUGAUAAAAAUGUGAUAUUGAAAAAACUCCUAGACGUUAUCAUAAGCAAAAUAUUAAAGGGAUUCUUCUUUGAUCUUUAAUCCCAUUAUUGGAAUAAACGGUAAUAACAAAGCUGAAAAGAUUUAACUGAAAAGCUAUCAAUCUUUCGUAGUCAUUGACUUACACAGUCCGUGAAUAAAUGUAUUUAAUGACAUGCAA